UAAUAUUUUGAUAAGUUUUUCUAUCAUUUAAUAGUCUUGAGGCUUCUCUGUUGUAGUCCUUCAAAAUUUAAAAGGACUAUUACUCCACCUUUAUCUGCUGGCUUGAUUAUGAUUGAAUUAUCUGUUUUGAAAUCCUCUAAACUCUGAUACUCUUUUUUUGACAAAUUCUGCUGGUAUUUAUUUGGCUUUUUCAUUUUGUUGAUAUCUGCCAUAACCAUUUUUUAAAAUGUUGACAUUUCACUCGAAAUUAAAUUCUUUGUAAUUUUUUUUAUUUGUUUCUCAAUGGUGUAUGUGUAUAAUUGUCUUCCUCUUUCCUAUUUGAGUUGGCCAUAAUUGGAUUUUUUUGAAAAAAAUUCUUUAUACAAAGAUUGCUUUUAAAUUUAUUAAGGUCAAUAUAUGUAUUGAAUUUCUUUAGAUUAUUUGUUGGGGCAUAUUUUAAACCCUUUUGGAGCAAUUUUAUUUGUGUUUGGUUUAAGGUUUUUGAAGUUAGAUUGACUGUUUUUCAUUUAUUGUUUCUAUGGAUGCCUUCUGUCUCAUUUUUCUCCUCUGUAUAUCCAAUCCCCCUCUCCUAUUUCGAGGAGAAAAAAAAAAUCACUUCCACCAACCACUGAUCAUCCGGCGGACACUUCCGCCAACCACUAAACACACUUCCGCCAACCACUGAUUAUACGGCAGUCACUUCCGACAGCCACUAAACCACCAAUGUAACGGAUCGCCUGGCACCCCGACUGGGUACCUCUGUUGAAGGAUGCUCCUAGCGCUUCCUGAGGACUCCAAGCACUCUGGCAGACACCACAAUCACCGAACCGGAGAAACAAAUAAAUUCUCCCAAGCAUAUGAAUG
This is a non-coding RNA of Pelobates cultripes (western spadefoot toad), 843 nucleotides long. NCBI's taxonomy places the organism in Eukaryota, Metazoa, Chordata, Amphibia, Anura, Pelobatidae. The record is from the annotation of a GenBank genome assembly.